CCUGCUGUAACAUAAGGUAUAUAAGUUGUGUUGGGGUAAAUCGACCGAUCCCGAUUUUGAUCUUCGUGACUCCGACCAUGCAUCGAUCGAACAAACAGCUCCGAUUCUUCAUUGACCGACCGAAUUAAUUACAUCGAUCUAUUGUCAGCUGAUCAAUUAAGAUCGAUUGAUCGACUGAUAUUCGACUAUCGACUACCGAUCAAUGACAGAUGACUUGACCGUCGGUAUAAUAGAUCUAAUAGCCGAUGGUCGCUCACAGAUUCUACC
RNAcentral lists this long non-coding RNA (267 nucleotides) under Elaeis guineensis (African oil palm). RNAcentral describes it as "long non-coding RNA (EGUI_LNC018885)". The record is from RNAcentral. Lineage: Eukaryota; Viridiplantae; Streptophyta; Magnoliopsida; Arecales; Arecaceae.